AACAAUUUUUUUUUUUGCAUUCUCAGUAGUAAUUUUUUUGCUCUUUAUUGGAUAUUUAUUUACAAGUUUAAUGCUUUGUUCAAAUAAGAAAAAAGAAUUACAAAUUUAAGAUUUGGGUUUUUUAUUCUAUUUCAUACAUUUUUUAACUUGCUUAAAAUUGAUAUUGUAAAAGAAAUUUAAUUUUUAAUAAUUUAAAAAAGUUAAAUUUGAUGAUAAAUAAAUCUAUUUAUGUGUUUGUUUACCAAAAUCAAAUCACGUUUUCUGUAUAUAAAAAC
RNAcentral lists this long non-coding RNA (275 nucleotides) under Lathyrus oleraceus (garden pea). RNAcentral describes it as "Pisum sativum (pea) long non-coding RNA (PSAT_LNC018321)". Lineage: Eukaryota; Viridiplantae; Streptophyta; Magnoliopsida; Fabales; Fabaceae. The record is from RNAcentral.